This 472-nucleotide ribosomal RNA is filed under the name uncultured bacterium. Its description in RNAcentral is "partial 16S ribosomal RNA". It matches the Rfam family "Bacterial small subunit ribosomal RNA", at positions 28 to 507 of the family's 1533-position model. The record is from RNAcentral.
GACGAACGCUGGCGGCGUGCUUGACACAUGCAAGUCGAACGCUGAAGCUUGGUGCUUGCACUGGGUGGAUGAGUGGCGAACGGGUGAGUAAUACGUGAGUAACCUGCCCUUGACUCUGGGAUAAGCCUGGGAAACUGGGUCUAAUACUGGAUACGACAUGUCACCGCAUGGUGGUGUGUGGAAAGGGUUUUACUGGUUUUGGAUGGGCUCACGGCCUAUCAGCUUGUUGGUGGGGUAAUGGCUCACCAAGGCGACGACGGGUAGCCGGCCUGAGAGGGUGACCGGCCACACUGGGACUGAGACACGGCCCAGACUCCUACGGGAGGCAGCAGUGGGGAAUAUUGCACAAUGGGCGGAAGCCUGAUGCAGCGACGCCGCGUGAGGGAUGACGGCCUUCGGGUUGUAAACCUCUUUCAGCACGGAAGAAGCGAAAGUGACGGUACGUGCAGAAGAAGCGCCGGCUAACUACGUG